GAUGGUAGUGUAUUGGACUACCAUGGCAAUCACGGGUAACGGGGAAUUAGGGUUCGAUUCCGGAGAGGGAGCCUGAGAAACGACUACCACAUCUAAGGAAGGCAGCAGGCGCGUAAAUUACCCAAUCCUGACUCAGGGAGGUAGUGACAAGAAAUAACAACUCGGGGGCGCAAGCCUUACGAGAUUGCAAUGAGAGUAAUCUAACAGACCUUAUCGAGGAACAAUUGGAGGGCAAGUCUGGUGCCAGCAGCCGCGGUAAUA
RNAcentral lists this ribosomal RNA (261 nucleotides) under uncultured eukaryote. RNAcentral describes it as "partial 18S rRNA". It matches the Rfam family "Eukaryotic small subunit ribosomal RNA", at positions 324 to 584 of the family's 1831-position model. The record is from RNAcentral.